UACGAAGGGGGCUAGCGUUGUUCGGAAUUACUGGGCGUAAAGCGUGCGCAGGCGGUUACGUAAGACAGGUGUGAAAUCCCCGGGCUUAACCUGGGAACUGCAUUUGUGACUGCAUAGCUAGAGUACGGUAGAGGGGGAUGGAAUUCCGCGUGUAGCAGUGAAAUGCGUAGAUAUGCGGAGGAACACCGAUGGCGAAGGCAAUCCCCUGGACCUGUACUGACGCUCAUGCACGAAAGCGUGGGGAGCAAACAGG
Molecule: ribosomal RNA, 253 nt
Filed under: uncultured bacterium
Lineage: Bacteria
Description: partial 16S ribosomal RNA
Rfam family: Bacterial small subunit ribosomal RNA
Source: RNAcentral